AUAAAAUCAAGUCCAAAUCAAGUCCAUUUACCUCCCCAUCUGACAAAGAUGCUGAAUUCAGAUGAAAACAGAAACAUAUCCUGACUCGUUCCUUCCUGCAGCCACGGCUUCCACUACACAAAAAUGACACAUUUGUGGUGGAAAAAACGGAGAAAGGUUCCGAGCCAUCGGCAGACAGCAGGGAACAGAAGAAAGCUGCUCCACAGAAGGGAAUCAUGUUUGAGAUCCGAUUGGAUGGAAGAGAGGCCGAAGGUUUUGUGAAGGAUCAAGAAGGCAGAGGAAAUGAGGAAUCACACAUAUUCAAUCAGACUCUGACCUUCAAUGAAAAUGAGAAGUUAACGUUUAGGAUUUGGCAGGAGAAGAGGAAGGAGUGGAGCCACAGGACUCCUCACACUCUGUUGGACGCUCUCAGCAACAUGGACGUCAACUCCCUCUGUUGGACAGCUCAUGAAGAAAAGCAAGAUGAGGAGGUGGCAGCUCGCAGACAUUGGACCAAAGGUGUCCCCAACACUCUGCUUAAUGCCCUGGCUCAGGCUGACCUCAUGUCAUCAACUCUGGGUUCAGUGAAUAUAGAACCAGCGCAGGGUACGGAAGAAGUUCAGGGGGAAACGAGGACUAAUGAGAAGAAAGAAGAAAUAGAAAGAUCUGCUGAUGAAGGGGAAUCUGACGUGGAGCUGGACGAUGAGCAUCUGGACUCAAGAUCAGACACGUCCUUUGAGGAGUCAGAAGACGAGCUGCAAGAGGCGGUUGCAGACAUCAUGAGGUGUCUGUUUGUCAAAGAGGACACAGGUUCACACAACAACACAGAGGAAAUGGCCGCAGGGGCUGAUGGGACAAAGGAAGAGGCGAUGGAUGGUUCCAAAGAGACUCAAGCAGAGACGAUAGUUUCACUCAGAGACAUCACGGCUGAGUCAUUGAAGCUCGCUGGCUCUGAGGCGGAUGGUUCUCUAUAGUGUUCAGGUGAUUUCCAAAGAGAAGACCACACAGCUUUAGAUAAACAGGAUUGUCACUGACACAAUAUGCCUCCAAUGAUGCCUUAAGUUAACACCCGUCUUUACCCAAUGUGUGCUUUGAGUGUGGGUUAGUGGAGGAGAAUGGCAGCAAAACAAAUGUAUAUGGUUAUUUUUAUUGAUUCUUGUCCAACUCUUCUUGACAUUUCAAAGUGUUUCAUUUUGGUGUAUUUUGUUGUAAAAAUGUACGUGACUGCCCUCUAUGGGCUGAGAAUGGUUGUUCUAGAUGUUUUUGAGCAGAAAUGUGAUAUCACUGACUGAUAUCAACCAUAGUUAAGCUCUUCUAGUGCUACAAAAUUGAGAACAUGUACUCAAUUUUGGCUUACUAGCACACGAGUAGACUUUACCAGUCAAGUAGUGUAACUAGUAGUACUAGUGAAGCAAAAAGUCUCUCUACUAAAUUUACUAGUCAGGCAAAAUGUGUCACUAGUAAGCCUUGUAUGCUAAUUAAGGGGUGGGGAAAAGCAAAUUCAGGUUUGACAUUGGCUUUUGAAAAUUUUACAACCAAUCCAAGGAGCUGGAUUUAGUUAUAAUCCCUCCUACUGUAUUUACAUUAAGGCUACUAGUACUAAUUGUGAAUCAUUUGGCUUUACUAGUGAGAUUUUGAGUACACUAGUAAAAAAUGUGUUCUCCACGUAAAUGAAUGUGGUGCAAUAGUGCAAACUUUACUAGUAAAGCUAAUAUGUCCAUUAGUAGACAAUUUAUGUUCAGUGUUACUAGUAGUACUAGUAGAUUUAAAAUAUGUUACAGUAAAAAAGAAAAAUGACACCCGUCAGCCAAAACCUUGGAGUUUAGUUCCUUUUUAAGUGGUAAUCUUUAACACACUUGUAAAAAUAAAAGCACAGGCAUAGACUAAUGGUUUGAUACA
Long non-coding RNA from Gouania willdenowi (blunt-snouted clingfish), 1878 nucleotides. Lineage: Eukaryota; Metazoa; Chordata; Actinopteri; Blenniiformes; Gobiesocidae. The record is from Ensembl.